Long non-coding RNA from Ipomoea nil (Japanese morning glory), 257 nucleotides. RefSeq lists it as uncharacterized. The transcript has 2 exons. NCBI's taxonomy places the organism in Eukaryota, Viridiplantae, Streptophyta, Magnoliopsida, Solanales, Convolvulaceae. The record is from RefSeq and is a predicted model, not a curated record.
CUAGCAAGAAGCUGUACAUUCCUCGCUCCAAUACCACCAAUAAUAAUAAUGCGGCCCGUGUGCCAAAAGGAACUGUUGCCGAUGCAGAAAUUUCUGAAUCUGCCGUCGAAGAAGCAGCAGGGAAUCGUAGAAAAGAUCCGGAGAAGCCUAAUCUUUCCGGUGAUCCACCGCCCCCUCCACCAGCAGCUGCUGUCAACAAUUCAGCUCCAUCUAGGUUAACCUUCUUUUUCUCUUUCCGACUGUAUAUGUAUAUAAGA